This 21-nucleotide microRNA is filed under the name Ptychodera flava. RNAcentral's name for it is "Pfl-Mir-4839_3p* (star (passenger))". Lineage: Eukaryota; Metazoa; Hemichordata; Enteropneusta; Ptychoderidae. The record is from RNAcentral.
CAGUUUGUGGAAAUACUUAAC